ACGUAGGGGGCAAGCGUUGUCCGGAAUUAUUGGGCGUAAAGGGCGCGCAGGCGGCCUGUUAAGUCUGGUGUGAAAGACCACGGCUCAACCGUGGGGUUGCAUCAGAAACUGGCGGGCUUGAGUGCAGGAGAGGAGAGUGGAAUUCCCGGUGUAGCGGUGGAAUGCGUAGAGAUCGGGAGGAACACCAGUGGCGAAGGCGGGUUGCUGGGCUGUAACUGACGCUGAGGCACGAAAGUGUGGGGAUCAAACAGGA
This 253-nucleotide ribosomal RNA is filed under the name uncultured prokaryote. Its description in RNAcentral is "partial 16S ribosomal RNA". It matches the Rfam family "Bacterial small subunit ribosomal RNA", at positions 525 to 777 of the family's 1533-position model. The record is from RNAcentral.